GACAUAGGUUGCAAACGUUAUCCGGAAUUAUUGGGCGUAAAGGAUGCGUAGAUGGUUUGAUAAGUUAUCAGUGGCAAAUCGGGGCUCAACCUCGUGGAAGCUGAUAAUACUGUCAUACUUGAGUGCAGGAGAGGUUAACGGAACUCCAUGUGGAGCGGUAAAAUGCGUUGAUAUAUGGAAGAACACCGAUAAGGCGAAGGCAGUUAACUAUUCUGCUACUGACAUUGAGGCAUGAAAGCUAGGGGAGCAAACGGG
RNAcentral lists this ribosomal RNA (255 nucleotides) under uncultured bacterium. RNAcentral's name for it is "partial 16S ribosomal RNA". It matches the Rfam family "Bacterial small subunit ribosomal RNA", at positions 524 to 776 of the family's 1533-position model. The record is from RNAcentral.